RNAcentral lists this long non-coding RNA (580 nucleotides) under Heterocephalus glaber (naked mole-rat). RNAcentral describes it as "lncRNA (ENSHGLG00000038464.1)". The record is from RNAcentral. Lineage: Eukaryota; Metazoa; Chordata; Mammalia; Rodentia; Bathyergidae.
UGUUGGCAGGCUCAUGCUCUGAAUCUCUGGGUUGAGUCCUUCUUUGCCUCUUCCUAGCUUCAGAUGGUGGUGUCAGUCCUUGGGGUUCCCUGGCUUGCAGCUGCUUCACUCCAGUCUCUGCCUCCGUCAUCACAGGAGAAACACACUUUUGGGGGGACACAACUCAAACCAUAACAUUCUGUGACACAGCAACCUCCCUCUGUGGUGUGUAUCCCAGAGACAAUUCUGCAACCAACCAUGAGGAAACAAAUGUGAUGAUGCUGGUGGCCACCAAAGUUGUCAGAGCAAGGAGCCAAAGGUGAACUAUGUAUCCAUGACCAGGAGGAAUGAAUAAAGCUGACCAGGUGAGAAAACAGGGCCUGCGGGGAAAGUUCCCCGCUCAAGACCUCAGAGCUGCUAAGAAAUGAAGAAAAUCUUGGAGACCAGUCUGUCUUACUCUAAAACCUCUUCCUUCGUGUUUUUUCCUCUCAUUGACCAGUUAUCUGCCUGCUUCUUGGUUCUGGAUAGGCCACAGGCCAACUCUUCCCUCCAUUAUAUAAAAACAGCCACCAGCAGGACCACAUUUAAAAGUGGACUUUUG